RNAcentral lists this unclassified non-coding RNA (336 nucleotides) under soil metagenome. Its description in RNAcentral is "partial contains 5.8S ribosomal RNA, internal transcribed spacer 2, and large subunit ribosomal RNA". The stretch from base 1 to 120 matches the Rfam family "5.8S ribosomal RNA", at positions 35 to 154 of the family's 154-position model. The record is from RNAcentral.
GAUGAAGAACGUAGCGAAAUGCGAUAAGUAAUGUGAAUUGCAGAAUUCAGUGAAUCAUCGAAUCUUUGAACGCACAUUGCGCCCGCCAGCAUUCUGGCGGGCAUGCCUGUUCGAGCGUCAUUUCAACCCUCAAGCUCUGCUUGGUGUUGGGGCCCUACGGUUGACGUAGGCCCUUAAAGGUAGUGGCGGACCCUCUCGGAGCCUCCUUUGCGUAGUAACUAACGUCUCGCAUUGGGAUUCGGAGGGACUCUUGCCGUAAAACCCCCAAAUUUUCUAAUGGUUGACCUCGGAUCAGGUAGGAAUACCCGCUGAACUUAAGCAUAUCAAUAAGGAGGA